UAUCUACCCUUUGGCCUGGAAUAACACGAGGAAACUUGUGCUAAUACCGGAUAAGUCUUUACGGAGAAAGCUUUAUGCACCAUUGGAUGAGCCUGCACUUGAUUAGUUUGUUGGUGGGGUAAUGGCCUACCAAGACUGUGAUCAAUAGCUGAUUUGAGAGGAUGAUCAGCCACAUUGGGACUGAGACACGGCCCAAACUCCUACGGGAGGCAGCAGUGGGGAAUCUUGCACAAUGGAGGAAACUCUGAUGCAGCGAUGCCGCGUGAGUGAAGAAGGCCUUUGGGUUGUAAAGCUCUUUCGUCGGGGAAGAAAAUGACUGUACCCGAAUAAGAAGGUCCGGCUAACUUCGUGCCAGCAGCCGCGGUAAUACGAAGGGAACUAGCGU
This 385-nucleotide ribosomal RNA is filed under the name uncultured bacterium. Its description in RNAcentral is "bacterial SSU rRNA". It matches the Rfam family "Bacterial small subunit ribosomal RNA", at positions 123 to 541 of the family's 1533-position model. The record is from RNAcentral.